RNAcentral lists this ribosomal RNA (465 nucleotides) under Vreelandella stevensii. RNAcentral describes it as "partial 16S ribosomal RNA". It matches the Rfam family "Bacterial small subunit ribosomal RNA", at positions 338 to 795 of the family's 1533-position model. The record is from RNAcentral. Lineage: Bacteria; Pseudomonadati; Pseudomonadota; Gammaproteobacteria; Oceanospirillales; Halomonadaceae.
CCUACGGGCGGCUGCAGUGGGGAAUAUUGGACAAUGGGGGGAACCCUGAUCCAGCCAUGCCGCGUGUGUGAAGAAGGCCCUCGGGUUGUAAAGCACUUUCAGUGAGGAAGAACGCCUGGUGGUUAAUACCCAUCAGGAAAGACAUCACUCACAGAAGAAGCACCGGCUAACUCCGUGCCAGCAGCCGCGGUAAUACGGAGGGUGCGAGCGUUAAUCGGAAUUACUGGGCGUAAAGCGCGCGUAGGUGGCUUGAUAAGCCGGUUGUGAAAGCCCCGGGCUCAACCUGGGAACGGCAUCCGGAACUGUCAAGCUAGAGUGCAGGAGAGGAAGGUAGAAUUCCCGGUGUAGCGGUGAAAUGCGUAGAGAUCGGGAGGAAUACCAGUGGCGAAGGCGGCCUUCUGGACUGACACUGACACUGAGGUGCGAAAGCGUGGGUAGCAAACAGGAUUAGAUACCCCGGUAGUC